AAAACAAGCAUACAGAAGCACAGGACUCCACCCUGGCUUCCCGGUUCAGGCUGCACCCACUCCCAGCAGCUCUAGUGGAGGACUGUAGACACAAGCAGCGUGAACUUAAAUAACUCUUAAAAAGUCUAUGAAAAACAAAGAGAUCAGCAGAGAAACUGUAAUGAGGACCAUGUUGUGCUACUGACUUAUACUGAAGACAAAACAAAAGACAGCAAUACCAUCCUAAUGCUUUUUGGAGAAAAAAACUCACAAGAGACAGCAUAGAAGAAACUGUGACAUUUCUCUGAACUACUCACCUCUACUGAUGCUUUCACAUGGGUCCAAAGAGAAGAAUGUAAAAACAAUGUGAAGGCUAAGAGUGGUGAACUUUUUGGAAAGGAAGAUGACCCAAUCCACUGGUCAGUUACGGCUAGUUAGUGUUGUUAUAAGGACAUUAUGAGUUAUUUCCACCUGCAUUUGUUCCCCUCUCUUAACACUAUAGUUACCUUCCUAUAAGUGCUGUCCUUACUAGUUUUUCUUCUCUUCAAACCAUUUGGCUUGUGCUGCUCUUUGACAGGGCAUUCAGAAAGCCCUAGCACACCCCACACACAUUCAUAGUAAAGUAGAGAACAAGCAAAUGCUCCUGUCUUGAUUCAGUCUAUAAUAAUAAUGUAAUUAAAAGAUUUUCAGGAGAAAUGUUGUGUUACUUACUUUUAUUUCAUUUAUUUUCUGGAGAAUGUACUAUGGCCAGUGCUCCUCAAAUGAGCAACCACUGUGUGAAGGAAUCCCAUCAAAUAUGACUUUUUGUGCACACUCACCAUCUGCUUUCAGUCUGACUUUUUUUAAAAUUGGCAACUACUUAUUAUCAAACUAACAACAGGCCUUUAAAAUAAGCAAAUAAGAAUAAACAUAGGGGUAUUAUCUGUU
Molecule: long non-coding RNA, 906 nt
Organism: Haemorhous mexicanus (house finch)
Lineage: Eukaryota; Metazoa; Chordata; Aves; Passeriformes; Fringillidae
Exons: 3
Source: RefSeq, a predicted model, not a curated record